RNAcentral lists this ribosomal RNA (578 nucleotides) under fungal sp. 57534. RNAcentral's name for it is "eukaryotic LSU rRNA". The stretch from base 220 to 373 matches the Rfam family "5.8S ribosomal RNA". The record is from RNAcentral. Lineage: Eukaryota; Fungi.
GGAAGUAAAAGUCGUAACAAGGUCUCCGUAGGUGAACCUGCGGAGGGAUCAUUACACAAAUAUGAAGGCGGGCUGGAACCUCUCGGGGUUACAGCCUUGCUGAAUUAUUCACCCUUGUCUUUUGCGUACUUCUUGUUUCCUUGGUGGGUUCGCCCACCACUAGGACAAACAUAAACCUUUUGUAAUUGCAAUCAGCGUCAGUAACAAAUUAAUAAUUACAACUUUCAACAACGGAUCUCUUGGUUCUGGCAUCGAUGAAGAACGCAGCGAAAUGCGAUAAGUAGUGUGAAUUGCAGAAUUCAGUGAAUCAUCGAAUCUUUGAACGCACAUUGCGCCCUUUGGUAUUCCAAAGGGCAUGCCUGUUCGAGCGUCAUUUGUACCCUCAAGCUUUGCUUGGUGUUGGGCGUCUUGUCUCUAGCUUUGCUGGAGACUCGCCUUAAAGUAAUUGGCAGCCGGCCUACUGGUUUCGGAGCGCAGCACAAGUCGCACUCUCUAUCAGCAAAGGUCUAGCAUCCAUUAAGCCUUUUUUUCAACUUUUGACCUCGGAUCAGGUAGGGAUACCCGCUGAACUUAAGCAU